GAUGAACGCUGGCGGCGUGCUUAACACAUGCAAGUCGAGCGAAGCACUUACCAUUGACUCUUCGAAAGAUUUGGUAAAUGACUGAGCGGCGGACGGGUGAGUAACGCGUGGGUAACCUGCCUCAUACAGGGGAAUAACAGUUAGAAAUGGCUGCUAAUGCCGCAUAAGCGCACAGUACCGCAUGGUACGGUGUGAAAAACCGAGGUGGUAUGAGAUGGACCCGCGUCUGAUUAGGUAGUUGGUGGGGUAACGGCCUACCAAGCCGACGAUCAGUAGCCGGCCUGAGAGGGUGAACGGCCACAUUGGGACUGAGACACGGCCCAGACUCCUACGGGAGGCAGCAGUGGGGAAUAUUGCACAAUGGGGGAAACCCUGAUGCAGCGACGCCGCGUGAAGGAAGAAGUAUCUCGGUAUGUAAACUUCUAUCA
Molecule: ribosomal RNA, 428 nt
Filed under: uncultured bacterium
Lineage: Bacteria
Description: bacterial SSU rRNA
Rfam family: Bacterial small subunit ribosomal RNA
Source: RNAcentral